Long non-coding RNA from Centruroides sculpturatus (bark scorpion), 618 nucleotides. RefSeq lists it as uncharacterized. The transcript is spliced from 3 exons. The record is from RefSeq and is a predicted model, not a curated record. Lineage: Eukaryota; Metazoa; Arthropoda; Arachnida; Scorpiones; Buthidae.
UCUUACGUCACAAACAAAAGUUUGAAUUGUUAAGAUAUUAAUAAACAGAUCCAAGUUCUUUACCCUUUAUCAGUAUCUUGUUAAAAUAUUCUUCAAGUAGGUCUUUAAGCAUGAUUGAACAGCAAUGAGACUAUAAAAUAUACAGUUAAUUUUAGUAUCCCGAAUAGAUCUAUUCUUAUAAGAAAAUUUUCAAUCGCAGUUAAUAAAUUAUAAAAAGAAAAAAGAAUAAUUUUUUUCGAUUUUAUUGUUCUUUAGUCGAAGAAUCUGUUAUUGUUUUAUAAAAUCGGGAAAAGUAAAUGAAUAGAAAUGAAAAUAAAAUUUGCUCCGAAUCGAAGCGGACUCGCCAAUAACCUACUGUAAAACAGAAAUAGCAGUUCAACCAGAGCUACGUCCUUCAACGACCUCUAAUGACAACUGAACCAACUAUUCCUUAAUUACGUCUUGCGUGGCAACACACGAAACGUUGUCUCGAGUCGCUCACUUGCAAAUUAAAUAGUUGUUAUUCGGUUUAAAAAUAAAUCCAUAAAGGAAAUUAAAAAUAAAGUGAGAUCGUUUUCAAACUGUUACAGACUUCUUUUUGCAUCGAUAUUUUUAAAACUUAAUAGAAAUUCUUCGACA